CUGAUCACGUGACACAUCCCUACCAGAAACAAGCGCUUGGCCCUCGCCAGUGCUUUGAAGGCACAGACAGACUCUCCACCCCAGCACACAAGCCUUGAAGCUGGGCUCCCAGGCUCCCAACUUUUGGACAUGGAGGCAUUUGUCUUUUCCUACCCUUUUACCAUUUUCUUCUUCCUCAGUUUACCCCAGGGUCCCCCCAAGAUGUCACUGAGCCUCUGGCACAGGGAGAAGGUCAUUUUUACCAGAGUCCCCAGCUCUUACUGGCAAUACCCUCACUCGAGUGUAAGCUCCGUGGGGCAGGACUUUGUCUUGUCCACUAUGCUGGGCACACACACAGCUGUUUAAUGCGCACAUGUGCGUGAACGGCCCUCCACCUUGUCGACCGUCUCUGUAGAGGCGACCCUGGGAGAUGCGAGAUGGCUUUAGCGCUCUUGAUCAGCUCCUGGUCUGUCUGGUUCUUUCCCCUGUGAUCUCCUGGGGGCAGAGAGCAUGAUCCCUUCACCUGCCCCGCCCCCAGCCCAGAGCUGUGCUCCCUGGGCUUGUAUUUUGAACAAAUGAAGGAGUAGCAGCUACUGUGUCAGAGGAGCCCACAGGCCCAACAUGCCAUUCCUGUGCACUGCCCAGAACCCCCAACCGCGGGGGCCAGUCUGAGACCUGGGGACCUGCCGCUCUGCCCCAUUUGAUUUUCCAUUGGUCCUGCCCCAGCCCUCCUGUCCCACCUUUUCUGAAAGCGAAAAUCUCAACUGAGUUGAAAGUGAAUUGUGGCCAGCUGGGUCGUGAAGGGAUGGAGACCCACUCUCCUACUAGGAAGAAUGUGUGUUUGCCUUUUGGCAGAGAGGAUAUUCCGACUGGUCAUUUUUUGCUCCGCCCCAGCUCUGGACGGAACUCCAGCCCCAGGCCCCACCCUGCAAGACAGAGAAGAAUGGUUUUAGGGGUGAGACGUCACCUUUCAAAUCCCUUCUCAAAGGCCACCUGCUCCUGGAGGUCCUUCUGGGUCCCCUGGGGAAAACCGCUGAGGGCUCUGGGCUCCCCCAGGGCAUCACUUCCUCCUGCCCCGUCAUGUGUGACCCUGUGCUUGUACAGUCUGAUGGCCCUGUACCCACGAGUGUUCCUUCAGGAGGGGAUUAUGAGCUCUUCCUUUUUAUGUCCACCUGUUCCUUUAACCAGCCAGGCUUUUAUUCUCUGCCCCGUCCUGGGCUAGGCACUGGGCACACAGAGUUGAGUUAAAUGUGUGCCCUCCAGCGGCUGACGAUCUAGUGGGGGUCGGACGAUCACCCCUCACCACGCAGCAUGAUCAGAGCUCUAAGGGUGCCAGCACCGGGCUGUGACAGCAGAGAAAGCCCCUGACCAGCCCAGAAGGACACGCAGGUUGGGAAAUAAUUCUUAGAGGAAGUUGACAUCUGAGUGGGGUUUUCGAGGAUGGAUAAGAGUCUGUGGAGCCGUAAAGAAGGGAAAGUGGUGUUCAGUCUGGCUGACUACAGCAGCCCUGGACAGCCCCAUCACGUGAAGGGGCCCAUAAAGCACGCUAAGACAUUUCUUCUUUUUCUUGUUUACCUUUCCAAGGUACCAAAGAAGGGUUAAGCCAAUGUGUGAGACACAGAAGGUGUUGAGAAAGCAGAUGUGUGCUGUCCAUUCAGUUGGAUUUCUCCCUGCUGCCUCCUAACCCCCAUGAGAUUAGAAGCUUCUGGAUGCCAAGGUCCAGACACUUGUGUGUAUUGGUGUGCAUCCCCAGAGCGAUGAACACAGUCAUGACACUUCACAGACACUCACUCAAUAUUUGCCUUGACCAACAAUUGCACGAUGCAUUGGGUUUGGCCAAGCACCCAUGACAUUGGGUAAUUUUACCUGCCCCACGCUUGCCAACGUGCUAGGCAUUCUGUAUGUGCUACUCACCUGAUGUCAUUGGUCACCAGUAACAACACAACAAGAUUGAUAUGCCACCUCUAUUUUGCAGGUGAAGAAACUGAGGGUCAGGGGGCAACUGGCAGGUCUAUCUGACUGUGUGACUCUAAACUUCCACAUCGGUUCCCAUUUCACAGGUUAGACAAACUGAGCUCACCUCCCUUGCCUAGGUCGAGAACUGAAUUCAGAAAAAAAGCCCCGAAGCAUGACUUGUUUGACUUGGCAGAGUGUCCAGCUCAAGAGAGUUGGGUACGCACGCAUUUCAUCACUUGCGACCCUUUCAUGGCGAAUCCUCCGGGGACCCAGCAGCUGACCAGCUCCAGCCGUUCGGGCUUGCUGAGGCCAAGCGGGCUCUGUCAGCCUCUGUCUGCCAAGGUCCUGGCCACCAGGGAGGGCCUGGCACCCUCUUGCCCACCCCCUGUGCAGCCCUGACUUGGGGAAGACAACCUCCCAGCAAACUGCCUGAAGCCCAAGAGGUGAGAUUAAAGGCAUCCAAGUAGGUCCCCACCUCACCUGGAUCUACGAGGCCACAGGGCUGAGACUUGCCCUUGUCACAGUCCUGUCACCUAUGCCUCAGUUUCCACACCAAUGGAAGGAAAAAACCACACGGACCUUCCUGGACGUUGGGAGGAUGAAGGGAAAUAGCAACAUCGACCAGCCCAGCUGCAUCAGAGACUCCUGAGGGCACCUUAAAAUGCAGGUUCCAAGGCCGGUCCUGCCAUCUGAUCCUGGGGCCCAGGGAGCUGUAUAUCUAAUGGACUCUGCAGCCACCGUGCACCCUGAAGACUCUUGCUCCAAACUCAAACCCCACGAAGAUCAAAAGAUCCCUGAAUUCAGGCUCCAAAGAGACACAGACGUUAUUGCAACAUCCUGACCCAUCUCGGACAUGAAUUCCAUUAAAGUUCCAUGAAAGAUAUCCCCAUCCUACAGAUGAGGAAACUGAGGCCCCUGAUGGUUAAAUAACUUGUCUGCAGUCGCACAGAAAGUGGCAGAGCUGAGUUGAUCCAUGAUCCAUCUGCCUCCCAAGAUCUUCGUAAGACACAACACCUCAUCCCAGGGAGCAAGUUGCUGAAGGUAUGUCAGAGACCAAGGCCUUCUCUCAGAGGUAGAACUUCCAGACUGGUGCGUACUUCCAAUUCAUGCAAAUCCAAGCAGGUUUCACUAUACACAGAAAACUCAUGUCACUGUGAGUCAAAAAUUCCCUUGAAAUUUGCCAUGUUGAACCCUCUUGCAAUGGAAACUGGUUUUCCCCCUAGUUUUGACCCCCAAACAGGACAAACCCUGUGUUCAGCCAGCUUUCACUGUUUAGAAAUUUACACUGAACAUCCAUGGAAAGGCCAUCUCCUGGAAGCUCUCAGGAAGUGGACAAACCUUGUGAAUUCAAAUAGGUGAAUUCAGCUAUGGGCACAAAAAAAUUCCAUAUUCUUUCUCUUUGAGUGUUGAUCCAAAAUCAGGUGACUUGGGGAAUACAUUUGUCUUAUAUUCGUCACAGUAUUGAAGAGACCCUAGAAAAAAAAAUGAACACACUCAUUAAGAACUGAUUACCAUUUUCAUUCAUUGAAAGAUAUCCUCCAACAGACCCACAGGGUCACGCAGGAAUGGAAGGGGGCUUUGAUGUGCUUAGUUGCGCUCAUACGUAUUGCAGGAGGGGACGCCGAGACACACGAAGGAUUCACUCCAGGGGCUCUUUGGAGCGUGCCACAACAGACCCCCAACUCCCAGGACAGUGCUUUUUUGCAUUCUGGAGCAAGGCUACUCUCAUCUGAAUACACCUUAAUGUAUGCUUAUCGGAAUCUGUUGUGGCCCAAAGCACUAAAUAUAACGGCCAGUUAGUGUCUCCAGUUGAAGGGAAAGAGGGGAGAUGGAGGCAAGUGUUGAGCAGGCCCCUUUUCACAGUAAGUUCAAGGAUAUCUCAUAGAAAAAUGAUGCUAAAAAGGGCCUCAGAGGGCAUCCAGUCAGACUCCCACCCACUUACCCUGCAGGUGGAAAGACUGAGAUCAAGAACCGUAAAGCUCCUUGAGCAGAUACGUUGUCAUGGUCAAAUACCAGGUGCCCUCAAAACUAGAACUGACCGCCUUCUAACCACCCUCCUGAUUAAGGAAAUAUUCAUGAAGAUAGACACAAAGGAGACAAUAGAGAGAGAAAGGGAAGAACAGAAUCGAUACACAGAAAACCAGAUCAGUGCAGUGGAGUAUUGGCUGGAGAAAUCCUGCCACCACCCAGGAUAAAGGACCGAUAGCCAGCAUGAUGAGCAAAUUGAUGAUAUAAGGCAAGAAAACUCUACCGUAGUGACACAACAUCUACAAAACAGGAAGUCCAGAGAGUCCAGGUCAGACAGGCAGUCAGCACUGACUUAAGGAUUAACAGAAAAACAAUUUCCCUGAGAUGAAGAAAAUCUCUCUUUGUGUUGAGGUUUCAUGUUUUAAGUACUAGACAAAAUUAAGGUGCCUAAUGCCUUAGUGAUUUAUUUUUCUUAAUCUAAAGGAUGAAAAGAAAAAAUUCCACACUAGGGUAAAAAAAUGAUUCAGCAUCAGACCUUUCCUCCACAUUCCCAAAAGACAGAACCCAGUGGAGCCUUCUCCAUGGAACAGGAGAAACAGUGACCCAAUAAUCUAUCCCUGCGAAGAAGCUGCUCAUUGAUGAAGCUAAGAAAAGGAAUUUUCAAAAGACAAGGACUUUGAAAGUAUACCCUUCACUUGCCCUUGAGGAAUUAAACAGUGACCUUCAAAGAAGUUCUCUAGACAAGUAAAAACUCUAUCAAAAUACACAAAAACCAAAAAGAGUAUUGAUGUUAAAGAUAUAUAAUAUACAUUUAACCUCGCUAAUAAACAAGGAAAUGUAAGUUAAAAUAAAUGAGGCAUCAUGUUUGCCUAUUGAUAUGUUAAUUAUUUGUUUGAUUUAAGUUCAUAGUUGCUUAUCUGACAUUCCUGAAGUCAGAUGUGUCUGUAAACUUAGAAAUUUUCAGAUUCUAGAAAGGAAUGUUAGUGCACAUGGGGAACGUUGGCAACCAUCCCACUAGGGUCUGAAUGUUGGUGUCACACAGAGCACCCUAGUCCCCUCCUCCAUGUGAGGACACAGUGAGAAGUCUGCAUCUGGUAAGAUGGCCUUCACCCAACCCUGCUGGCACCCUGAUCUCAGACUUCCAGGCUCCAGAACUGUAAAAAUAAACAUUUGUUGUUUUUAGGUCACCCAGUCUGUGCUAUUUGUUAUAGCAGCCCAAAUGGACUAAAACACCCCCCUCACCCUGAAAUAUGUGAAGUAGCACACCCAAAUCCAACACUGAGAUAGUUCUAAGGCAAAACAUGAAUAUUCACACUACAUGAGAUAAAAUAGAGGCAAUAAAUAUCUCCAUGUCAACUGAGGUCAGAUUCAUCCACCAAAUAAAUGAUGAAACAAUUUUCAUUUUCAGAAAAUUUUGGAUCUCAGAAUUACAGAUAAAGACUUGAAACCUGUAAAUAAUACCUAGGUUUGAUAAGGUAGCUGGAAAAAGAUGCUUUCUUGCUUCAUGAAUGGAAGUUUAUAUUCAUAAAACCUUUUCUGGAUUUUAAUUUGGAAUGUUUCAAAGCCUAAAAUAUUAAGUAAAUGUUCUUUGUUCUAGAAAUCUGCUGCUAGAUAUUGAUCCUAAGGAAAUCAUCAGAAAUGGGUAGAAAGUCUCCACUUUAGGAAGUUCAACCUAGAAUUGUUCAAGGUGUCAAAAACAGAGAUGGUUAGAUAAAUCAUGGCACAUCUUAAAAAGGAAAACUUGAUAGGCAUUAAAAAUGACAUGAUGCAAGAAUGUUCAAUUAUGUAGAAAGCUGAUGACAGAAUAAUAAGUGAAAAAAAUUACAAAUCAAUUUAUUCUGUAUAAUGCCAUUUUAUUAAAAAAAAGAAAAGAAAGAUUGGACUUUCCUGGUGGCACAGUGGUUAAGAAUCCUCCUGCCAAUGCAGGGGACACAGGUUCAAUCCCUGGUCUGGGAAGAUCCCACACGCUGUGGAGCAACUAAACCCGUGCGCCACAACUACUGAGCCCACACACCACAACUACUGAAGCCUGCGUGCCUAGAGCCAGCGUUCCGCAGCAAGAGAAACCACCUCAAUGAGAAGACCACACACCGCAUUGAAGAGUAGCCCCUGCUCACCGCAACUGGAGAAAGUCCAUGCAGCAACGAAUACCCAAAGCAGCCAAAAAAAAAAAAGACAGAGAGAAAUAUAUGCAGAAUGUGAGUACAUACACAGAAAAGAAAGACUGGAAAGGUAUAUAACCAAAGAUUGAAGAUAGUGGUCAUCUCUGGAUAGUGUGAGUUUUUUUAAUGAUUGUGUUCUUCUUUUUGCGAAUCUCUACCUUCUAAAGUUUCUAUAAUUAACAUGCUAAUUUUUAUAAUAUAAAAAUAAUUAUGAAAAAUAAACAAAAUGCCUUUUUUUUGUACAAAAAUGAAGUGAUCUGAUUAAGAAAAUAUAGGACUACAUUGGCAACAUGCCAAACACAGACAAGAUAUACAAUGUGUGCUCGUACAAGGGAGGGAAUUAAUAUAGUCUGGAUGGUAGAUUUAUUUAAUAUUAGCAUUGGAGAGGAAACUACCAAAGCUCCAUUUACAGCUGGGAAACUGAGGCCUAGAAAGGAGGAGGAAGGUGGGACUUGACCUGAGGCAGCCUGAGUCUAGAAACUCCUACAAUGACCCAUACCUGACUGUGUUUUUUGUGACUUCUCCUCCUAAGUUCUAUCUUCGAGAAAUUGGCUGAGCUCAGGUGUGAGUACCAGGACUGUUCAAAUGGUAAAAUUCACCAUAAAGUGGAAAAAUUGAUAAGAAAACAUGAGGGUUCAUUGUCUAGUUUCCUUUUGCUGCCCAAAUUACACAUGCAAAUAUAGACUUUGGAAUUUCAUCUGAGCUGAGGAGAUGUUGUCGUCUUUCCCUAAAGGACAAGGAAAAGAUCACCUUUGAAGAAACCAGACAGGGGCCCCAUAGCCAAGAGGACAGAAAUCUCCAUCACAGUUUCUGCAAAUCUAGUUCCUUCCACAUGACAUAAAAGGUAGACUUGACUUCAGUGCAACAUUGAAACCCAAAACUUUGUCACUGAGGCAUAAAAGAUAUUAAUUUUGGUAGAAAAAGAUAUUUAUUCUUCAUCACUGGUUCAACAAAGGGCUGUUUUCUCAGGUUAAAAAUAUAUGUCCUCUCCUCCUCAAUCAUGUGAUUCAUGCUAGUGAUAAAUUACCAUCCCUCAUAUACUGUCCUUUGAUUACUCAUGAUCACCCCUGCUUCCAGGAUGGAGAAUCAACCCCAUUAGCUCCUGCCUCAGUGAAUGACUGGGCACAGGACAGAUUCCUCUAUGUUCUUAUAAAAUAUUCCACACAAAAGAAAUCAUUCUAGGGACUUCCCUGGCAGUCCCGUGGUUAAGACUCCAUGCCUCCAAUGAAAGGGGUGCAAGUUUGAUCCCUGGUUGGGGAACUAAGAUCUUACGUGCCACCCAGCCAAAAAAUUUUUUUUUAAAAAAUUAAUUAAUUAAUUUAAUUUAAUUAAUAAUCAUGAGAUUCCUUGAAAAAAAGAAAAGAAAUCAUUCUAAAUCUUGCCACUCCCACCACACAUCCCCUUAUAGCUCUAAGGAGAAGUGGAAAGGGAAUUGUCGGCAGAUUUGUGGAGACUUUGAGACUGUCCUUCAGUUUGCAGAGGCAAAAACAAUGUCUUUCCAGACACACAAAAGUGGAAAGAAUUCAUCACCAGCAGACCUGCACUAGAAGAACUGUUAGAAGUUCUUUGCACAGAAGGAAAAUGAUACUAAGUGAAAACCUGGAUUUACACAAAAGAAUGAAGAGCGCCAGAAGUGGUAACUCCAUGCGUGACUCUAAAGGUGAUUUUCUUGUUAUUCAAAACUCUUUGAAAGAUAACCAACUAUUUGGUUGACCAAAAAGUUCGUUCAUGUUUUUCCAUAAGAUGUUACAGAAAAACCCUAAUGAACUUUUUGGCCAACCCAAUACUUGAAGGAAAGGUAAAAGCAAUGUACUGUGGGGUUGGUUUAUAGCACAUGUAGAAAUAAAACAUGUGACAAUAGCACAAGGUCAAGAGAGAGGAAAUAGAAGUGUACUGUUAUAAGGUUCUUAUACUAUACAUUAAAUUAAAGAUGCAUAUUAAAAACCCUAAAGAAACCACUAAAAUAACUCAAGAAAAAAGUAGGCUAACAAACCAAUCAAUGAGAUAAAAUAGAAUCAUAAUAAAAAUAUUCAACACAAAGGAAGGCAGAAGAGGGGGAGAAGUUCACAGAACAGAUGAGACAAACAGGAAACCAAUAGGAAGAUGGUAGAUUUAAACCAUAGCAAUAAUAGCUUCAAAAUUAAUGAUCUAAGCAUGACAAUUAAAAGGCAGAUUUUGUCAGAUUGGAUUAAAAAUAAACAAAACAAGACCCAACACUAUGCUACCUACAAAAAAACUCACUUUAAAUAUAAAAACCCUAACACCAAACAAAAGAAAGUGGGUGUGGCUACAUUAAUAUCAGACAAAGUAGAUUUCAGAGCAAAGAAUAACAAAAAGAUAACAAAGGGCAUUUCAUAGUGAAAAGGGUUAAUUCAUCAAAAAGACAUUCCAUUCCUAAAUGUUUAUACAGUUAGUAACAAAACCUCAAAUUAUGUGGAGCAAAACUGUUAGAACUGCAUGGAAAGAAAGACAGAUUCACAAAUUUAGUUGAAGUUUUCAAUAUCCCCUUUUCCAUCAUUGACUGAACAAGCAGACAGAAAAUCAUUAAUAGUACUUGAGCACUAUCAACCAACUUGACCUAAUUGACAUUUGUAGAGCACUUCACCCAACAGCAGUGGAAUACAUAUUCUUUUCAAGUGCUCAUGAAAUAGUCCCCAAAAUAGAGCAUAUUCUGGACCACAAAACAAGUCUCAAUAAUUCAAGUCAUACAAAGUAUGUUCACUGACCACUAAGGAAUUAAAUUGAACAUCAAUAACACAAAGAUAUCUAGAGAAUCUACAAGAAUUUUGGAACUAAAUAACUCAUGGGUCAAAGGAGAAAUCAGAAGGAAAAUUAGAAAGUAGUUUGAACUAAAUGAAAACGAAAAUAAUCAAAAUUUAUAGAAUGUUGCUAAUGUAUCAUGGUAAAAUGCAUAGCUUUAAAUGCUAUAUUAGAAAAGAUGAAAGAAAGGUCUCAAAUCAGUGAUUGCUUCCACCUUAAAAAGCUAGCUAGGGCUUCCCUGGUGCCGCAGUGGUUGAGAGCCUGCCUGCCUAUGCAGGGGACACGGGUUCGUGCCCCGGUCCGGGAAGAUCCCACAUGCUGCGGAGCGGCUGGGCCCGUGAGCCAUGGCCGCUGAGCCUGUGCUCCACAACAGGAGAGGCCACAACAGUGAGAGGCCCACAUACCGCAAAAACAAAAACAAAAAAAA
Orcinus orca (killer whale) is the source of this 9252-nucleotide long non-coding RNA. RefSeq lists it as uncharacterized. Lineage: Eukaryota; Metazoa; Chordata; Mammalia; Artiodactyla; Delphinidae. The record is from RefSeq and is a predicted model, not a curated record. The transcript has 3 exons.